AACGAACGCUGGCGGCAUGCCUAACACAUGCAAGUCGAACGAGACCUUCGUGCCUAGUGGCGCACGGGUGCGUAACGCGUGGGAAUCUGCCCUUGGGUUCGGUAUAACAGUUGGAAACGACUGCUAAUACCGGAUGAUGACGUAAGUCCAAAGAUUUAUGGCUCAAGGAUGAGCCCGCGUAGGAUUAGCUAGUUGGUGAGGUAAAGGCUAACCAAGGCGACGAUCCUGGGCUGGUCUGAGAGGAUGAUCCGCCACGCUGGAACUAAGACACGGCCCAGAAUCGGACGGAAGGCAGGAGUAGGGAGUAGAGGGCGAGGGACGAAAGUCUAGUAAAGCCGCGCCGGGGGAGAGAUGAAGGGGGUAGGAUUGUAAAGCUGUUUUUGACGGGAUGAGAGUGACAGUACCGGGAAAAGAAGCACCGGCUAACUACGUG
Molecule: ribosomal RNA, 433 nt
Filed under: uncultured bacterium
Lineage: Bacteria
Description: partial 16S ribosomal RNA
Rfam family: Bacterial small subunit ribosomal RNA
Source: RNAcentral